GGGGUUGUGGCUCAAUGAUAGAGCACUCGCUUGACAUGUGUGAUGUCCUGGGUUCGAUCCCCAGCACCA
RNAcentral lists this transfer RNA (69 nucleotides) under Ictidomys tridecemlineatus (thirteen-lined ground squirrel). RNAcentral describes it as "Spermophilus tridecemlineatus (thirteen-lined ground squirrel) tRNA". It matches the Rfam family "tRNA". From Rfam's summary of the family: Transfer RNA (tRNA) molecules are approximately 80 nucleotides in length. Their secondary structure includes four short double-helical elements and three loops (D, anti-codon, and T loops). Lineage: Eukaryota; Metazoa; Chordata; Mammalia; Rodentia; Sciuridae. The record is from Rfam by way of RNAcentral.